GCGUUUGGCUUCUGCUUUGGCAGCCUGGAGAGCUUGGAAGAAACGCUGAGUGAAACUGACCUGGCAGGAAUAUUCUUCCGAAAAAAUGUGAUGUUGUCUUCAUCCCUCAGCUUCCCUUCUGUUUUCGAAAUGAGUUCCCUUCUGUUUUCGAAGCCUAAUCUGUCAGCACUCACUAAUCCCCAGGAGACCUUGAGUGAUCUUCAGCCAGAUUAGGCAAUGUGAGGAGCCAGACCCCAGAUACUCACCGUACACGGUGGUGAGGAUAGGAGAGGCAGAGAUGAGGGCUUAUCACCGUUUCUUGGGGAGCUGCACCAGCCUGGAAUACAGGGCAAAUAAAGCACUUCCAGUAAUCAGCACCUCCCUGCUCUCCAAAGCUGGACAGACUCUUGAUGUCAGCUGUGCUGCAGUCUGCAAACCAUCAAUAGAAUUCUGACAGCUGCCUGGUGCUUCCCAGCCAUCAAUUAAGAGAUCCACAGCUGCCCGGUCCUUCCCUGCCCUCGACUAAGAGAUCCACAGCUGCCCGG
Mastomys coucha (southern multimammate mouse) is the source of this 524-nucleotide long non-coding RNA. RefSeq lists it as uncharacterized. The transcript has 4 exons. Lineage: Eukaryota; Metazoa; Chordata; Mammalia; Rodentia; Muridae. The record is from RefSeq and is a predicted model, not a curated record.